This 196-nucleotide unclassified non-coding RNA is filed under the name uncultured fungus. Its description in RNAcentral is "partial internal transcribed spacer 2". The record is from RNAcentral. Lineage: Eukaryota; Fungi.
AAUUCUCAACCCCACCGAUUUGCUUCGUGUGGUGGCUUGGACUUGGAGCGUGCUGGCGUCUCUCGACGUCGGCUCCUCUUAAAUGCAUCAGCGGAAAACCUCUUCGAUUUCCGGUCGUCAGUGUGAUAACCAUGUUACGCUGUCGCCGAUCUCAAAGUCCGCUCAUAAUCGUCCUUUCGGGACAACUUUUUAUCAA